GACAGAGGGUGCAAACGUUGUUCGGAAUUACUGGGCGUAAAGCGCGUGUAGGCGGCCCUGCAAGUCGGAUGUGAAAGCCCUGGGCUUAACCUAGGAAGUGCAUUCGAAACUGCUGGGCUUGAGUUCUGGAGAGGAAGGCGGAAUUCUCGGUGUAGAGGUGAAAUUCGUAGAUAUCGAGAGGAACACCGGUGGCGAAGGCGGCCUUCUGGACAGUGACUGACGCUGAGACGCGAAAGCGUGGGGAGCAAACAGG
Molecule: ribosomal RNA, 253 nt
Filed under: uncultured bacterium
Lineage: Bacteria
Description: partial 16S ribosomal RNA
Rfam family: Bacterial small subunit ribosomal RNA
Source: RNAcentral